AUCAACAUAUUUCAAAACUUAAAUACCUCUUUAAAUAGCAAAUAUACAGUUGUGCCAGUGAAUUCUUACCAAUCACCAUAAUUUGAAUUCUUACAAACGGCGCCGAUGAAUUCUUCCCAACCGCCAUAAUUUGAAUUCUUACUAACGGCGCCGAUGAAUUCUUACCAACUACCAUAAUUUGAAUUUUUACCAACGGCCAUAAGUUUCGAGGUAUAUAUAGAAUGAAAUGAAGAGGGUUUAAUUUUCUGUGAUGUAGUGGUUCUUAAAAUAAGAAGAAUUCGAAUUCUUGGGUAAUUAUCUGGAUCAUAUGAAUCAAAGCAGACUGAAAAUGAGUUUGGAAAGGGAGUGACAGAAGAUAAGAAUUUGUCACGAGCUUCUAAAUUAUUCUGCAAAGGGCGCAGUCUAGAGUUUGAUGAGCAAGUGGCUUAUCCAAUACAUCUUUUUGCAAAUGUUCCUUGGGAUCAUAUGUACAGACUAAGGUCAUUGGAUGCACCUGAGGUGCCUAGUGUCUCAUUCGUUUCAAAGGUGGAAGCAACAUUCUAUCUAUAAGCCUGUAGUGAAUUUGUUUUCUGAUAAUUUUGAUGGGCAGGUGGAUUAUCCCAUACAUCUUUUUGCAAAUGUUUCUUGGGAUUAUACGUACAGACUAAGGUUUUUGGAUGCACCGGAGGUGCCCAGUGUCUCAUUUGUUUCAAAGGUGGAAGCAACUUUGUAUCUAUAAACCUGUAGUGAACUUGUGCUCUGAUAAUAUCAGGAUAAUUUUUUGGAGUUCAAAAUCUCUAAAAACUUCUGAUUUCAAAGUCUUGAUUGAUAGUCGAGCUUCAUUCACAUAUAUGCCUACCAAUGCAUUGAAUCAGCAUUUUAAGAAUUUGAUGAGCAGGUGUCUUAUCCAAUGCAUCUUUUUGCAAAUGUUCCUUGGGAUUAUAUGUACAAACUAAGAUCUUUGGAUGCACCUGAGGUGUCCACUGUCUCAUUUGUUUCAAGCCUGUAGUGAAUUUGUUCUCUGAUAAUGGCUGGAAAAUCUGAAUGAUCGAAUUAGACACAUAUUGGGAUGUGAAGAUGGGACAUUGACUCCCAUUUUUCCUGUGUUGUUUGGGAUUGAAGACCUUCAUCUUCAAUAUGCUGCCGGGCGUUGAAUUCAUUGGAGCUAAUGCAUUAAUGGUCUUGCAUUGGAUUCUUUCGAAUUGAAAGUAUGAUGUGGAUCUUGGCUACUACAUUUCUCUGCUAUCAUCAUUCCAUGUUCAUAUUCAUAUUACUGAGAAUGAGAUUGCUUUUGCAUUUGGGUUUUACCAUCCAAAGAAGAAGCUUGGAAGUUCAAGUGUAGUACCCCUUCUCGAUUAGACUUUUUGGACUCAUGUUUGACUUCAGUUAAUUGUUCAGUGGAUACAUUAUUGUUAUACUUUAUUCAGACUCUAUACGAUGUUAUUACAUGCUUUAACUUGA
Long non-coding RNA from Cryptomeria japonica (Japanese cedar), 1440 nucleotides. RefSeq lists it as uncharacterized. The transcript is spliced from 9 exons. The record is from RefSeq and is a predicted model, not a curated record. Lineage: Eukaryota; Viridiplantae; Streptophyta; Pinopsida; Cupressales; Cupressaceae.